AGUGGGGAAUUUUGGACAAUGGGCGCAAGCCUGAUCCAGCCAUGCCGCGUGCGGGAAGAAGGCCUUCGGGUUGUAAACCGCUUUUGUCAGGGAAGAAACGCUCCGGGCUAAUACCCUGGGGUAAUGACGGUACCUGAAGAAUAAGCACCGGCUAACUACGUGCCAGCAGCCGCGGUAAUACGUAGGGUGCAAGCGUUAAUCGGAAUUACUGGGCGUAAAGCGUGCGCAGGCGGUUGUGCAAGACAGAUGUGAAAUCCCCGGGCUUAACCUGGGAACUGCAUUUGUGACUGCAUGGCUAGAGUGCGGCAGAGGGGGAUGGAAUUCCGCGUGUAGCAGUGAAAUGCGUAGAUAUGCGGAGGAACACCGAUGGCGAAGGCAAUCCCCUGGGCCUGCACUGACGCUCAUGCACGAAAGCGUGGGGAGCAAA
This 427-nucleotide ribosomal RNA is filed under the name uncultured Leptothrix sp. RNAcentral's name for it is "bacterial SSU rRNA". It matches the Rfam family "Bacterial small subunit ribosomal RNA", at positions 353 to 772 of the family's 1533-position model. Lineage: Bacteria; Pseudomonadati; Pseudomonadota; Betaproteobacteria; Burkholderiales; Sphaerotilaceae. The record is from RNAcentral.